RNAcentral lists this ribosomal RNA (301 nucleotides) under uncultured bacterium. RNAcentral describes it as "partial 16S ribosomal RNA". It matches the Rfam family "Bacterial small subunit ribosomal RNA", at positions 509 to 807 of the family's 1533-position model. The record is from RNAcentral.
CAGUCGCCGCGGUAAUACGUAGGGUGCGAGCGUUAAUCGGAAUUACUGGGCGUAAAGCGUGCGCAGGCGGUUCGUUAAGACAGAUGUGAAAUCCCCGGGCUUAACCUGGGAACUGCAUUUGUGACUGGCGAGCUAGAGUAUGGCAGAGGGGGGUAGAAUUCCACGUGUAGCAGUGAAAUGCGUAGAGAUGAGGAGGAAUACCGAUGGCGAAGGCAGCCCCCUGGGCCAAUACUGACGCUCAUGCACGAAAGCGUGGGGAGCAAACAGGAUUAGAUACCCCCGUAGUCCCUGUCUCUUAUAC